This 1082-nucleotide long non-coding RNA is filed under the name Equus caballus (horse). Its description in RNAcentral is "lncRNA (ENSECAG00000032178.2)". The record is from RNAcentral. Lineage: Eukaryota; Metazoa; Chordata; Mammalia; Perissodactyla; Equidae.
UGAUGAGAUCUCUUCGACGAGCACCAGUGCCAGCAUCAUGACCUCACCUUGCAUGAGUCUGUAAUUCUCUGCAGAGACGGAGUCUUCAGAGCACCCUGAGAGGAUGAGUUGGACGCAUGCAUACAUUGCUGACACAGACCUGAGUUCUUACUCUGCCUGAAGGACUUUGCAGGAGACGUGCCAUGAGCUGGGUCUCUUCCAGCCGCCAAGCAUCCUUCUGCCCAGUCCCACUGUCUGUUUUGUGACCAUCCUCAACAGUCGAUGCAUCAACACCAAAAUAUUUGGGAGCUAAGCAAACAGAAGUCAUGGAAUGAUUCUCAGAACCAACCACAUAAAGAGCAAAAUGCAGGCCUCCUGCAGAGGGAGUUGUUUUGAAGAUCUCAUGCCAUACCCUCCGCUACCCUUAGACCUCAGGGAGAGCUCACCACCCACAGGCCUUGCCUGGUGCUUCUCCCCAGAGCAGUUCAGACCGCCCAGCCUGGACAUGCAUGUGAACCUCUGUGAAGAGCAUUCUCCAAUUAGUAGGGAAAACAGCCUUGUGUCAGUGCUGGGAAACUGUGGGUUGGUCGACCAAGGCUGAUUCAACGGGCAGGUCACAACAAGGCCAAUGUGAAUUCUAAAAUGUUUCACUCGAAUCCUAUUACUAGCCUAGUAAACAGGACUACAAAACUUUAUGUCAAGCUCUGCAAACGACAAUAAAAAUUUCAGAAGCGCCCAAGGUGGAAAGAAGAGAGAGAGAGUCAUAAACACCCGAGUCAAGGAUUUAAGAUGAUGUCGAAGAGGAGGAUUAAGUGUCAAACUUUCUAACCCGCCUACUGAUAACAUCAGUUUGUUCACAACCGAAAGUAGGAUGCACUACGUUGUUGGAUGUUAUAUGCUCCGCGGGUGUUUGCGAAUCUGCUCAUGGUCUUUGGGGGAUCAGGGAGCUUGCAUGGCAAUCUUCUCUCUCUCUUUUCUUUCUUUUGUCCUUGUAAUGCAGCAGGGGAAGGAGCUCUGUUUCACUCACCUUGGAGCCAAAUUGAAGUGAACACGCUUAAUUGUGCAAGGACUGGACAGUGAACCCUUUUUCUCAAGGAAUAAAA